GUCCUUCUAGUUGUGGCAUGUGGGACGCUGCCUCAGCAUGGUUUGAUGAGCAGUGCCAUGUCCGCGCCCAGGAUUAGAACCAACGAAACACUGGGCAGCCUGCAACGGAGCACGCGAACUUAACCACUGGGUCACGGGGCCAGCCCCUAUUUAUUUGUUUUUUUAAUUCCACUUUUACUGCUGUCUUAUGACCAUGAUGCUGCUUCCUUUAAAGUGAGAACCCUGGGAUUCUGGUAGGAGACAGCAAUCAAAGUGAAAGGAGUUACAAACUCUAUGGGAAGGUAGAGGAGAAAUUUUAGAAAUAGAGAAUAGGAAAAAAAAAAAUGCGAAGGGCUGGCCCAGUGGCGUAGUGGUUAAGUUCAUGUGCUCUGCUUCAGCAGCCUGGGGUUUGCAGGUUCGGAUCCUGGGCAUGGACCUACACACUGCUCAUCAAACCAUGCUGUCGUGGCGUCCCUUAUACAAAAUAGAGGAAGAUGAGCACAAAUGUUAGCUCAGGGACAAUCUUCCUCAAGCAAAAAGAAGAAAAUUGGCAACAGAUAUUAGCUCAGGGCCCAUCUUCCUCACCAAAAUAAAUAAAUAAAGCCUACUGAAGGCAGACAAGAGCUUAUUAUGAUAGUAAAGAAUUCCCAGGCUGGAUGAUAGAGGUCCAGGGAGGUGGCCCAGCACGUGGAGAUGUUUUGUUCAUGGGGAUUUUUGCCAACUCUGAAGGAAGUAGCUGAGAGGCUGAAAGGCUGAAGGGUACUUUGGACAGCCAUAUUGGGCUAGGGGGCCCAAGCUAGUGCCCACCAAGAGUACCUCUAGUGAACAGUUAGUUGAGACCCCAAAGGGAUCACCCUAGGAAUAAGCGUGAACUAGAGUUAGAAAAUCCUUGUAAAGAUUAAAGCUCAACCUCAAAUGAUCUCAUCUCUGAACUUGGAUUGAAGUAAUCCAGAUUGGUGGUGUUUCUCUCUGGAGGAAAAUGUCACCUUAGAUCUAAAAUUAAUUCUACACACAAUGUUGCAAAUACAACAUUGGGCACGUGAUAAAAAAUAACCAAGUACAUGAUGAGAUAAGGCAACAUGAAAAACAAACAAAGAAACAAAACCAGAAACAACCAUCCACAGAAACAGACCCAUGGGAGCUUCAGCUAUAAGAAUUAUCAGUAAAGUCUUAUAUUAACUGUUUCCUAUGUUCAAGAAGAUAAAUGAAAAGACUGGAAAUUUUGACAAGAACUGGAAAUUAUAAGAAAGAAACAAGUGGAAAUUUUAAAGAUUUUAUUUUUUCUUUUUCUUCCCAAAGCCCCCUGGUACAUAGUUGUGUAUUUUUAGUUGUGGAUCCUUCUAAUUGUGGCAUGUGGGAUGCCACCUCAGCAUGGCUUGAUGAGCGGUGCCAUGUCUGUGCCCAGGAUUUGAACCGGUGAAACCCUGGGCCACCAAAGCAGAGUGCACAAACUUAACCACUCAGGCACGGGGCUGGCCCCACAAAUGGAAAUUUUAGAACUGAAAAACAUAACAACUGAAAUUAAGUACUCAAUGGAUGAGUUUAACACAGAUGAAGGGAGAACUGGCAAAAUGGCAGAAAGUCCAGAGGAAAUAAUUCGGAAUGAAUCAUGAAGAGAUAAAUUAAUGGACAAUAUAUAGGCAAGGAUAAGUAAAAGAGAAUACGAUAAGAAGAUAUCACCUACUUGAGAGAGAGAGAGAAUGAGGAAAAAGUAAUAUCUGAAGAAAUAAUGGUGAGAAUAUUCCAAAGCUGAUGAAAAGAUAUUAAGCCAUAUAUUCAACAAAUCUUUCCAAUCCCAAACAGAUUUUUAAUAAGGAGAAAACCACAUCUAGUCACAUUAUAGUAAAACUUCUAAAACUAGGGGGCUGGCCCCGUGGCCGAGUGGUUAAGUUCGCGUGCUCCGUUGCAGGCAGCCCAGUGUUUCGUCAGUUCGAAUCCUGGGCGCGGACAUGGCACUGCUCAUCAGACCACGCUGAGGCAGCGUCCCACAUGCCACAACUAGAAGAACCCACAACGAAGAAUACACAACUAUGUACCGGGGGGCUUUGGGGAGAAAAAGGAAAAAAUAAAAUCUUUAAAAAAAAAAAAAAAACAAACUUCUAAAACUAAAGACAAAGAGAGAAAAAUCUGAAACAUAUCCUGAUUAUAACACAAACAACAUUCAACGAAGCAACAGACAGACAGCCUACUUCAACAGAAGCACUGUAAAACACAAGACAACGUGACUGUAAAUGCAUCAGAAUGAGUGGGAAAUACAUCUUUAGGUAAACAAAAGCUGGUAGAGUUUGUUACUAGCAGAUCUGAACCAAAGGAUACUAUUCAGGCAGAAGGGAAAUGAGUCCAGAUGAAAGCUUGAAGAUGCAGGAAGGAAUCCGAAAAAAUAAAAAAAGGUUAAUUUAACUCGAUAUUGACAUCAAACAAUAACAGGAAUUAGAAUACACAAGUACAAUGGCAUAUAAGGGAGGGGGGAGUAAAUGGAAUUAAAGUACUCUAAGACCCUUACUUAGUUCAGGAAGAAGAUAACAACAACAAUCAAAUUAGACUUGUGAAGAAUGCAGUUGUUGUCUAUAUGCAAAAGAGGCUAUAGCUUCCAAGCUACAAGAAAGAAAUAAAAUAGUAAUAAUUUUAAAAAUUCAAAAUAAAAACAAAGGUGAGAAAAAAAGAAUGUAGACCAAAACAGAGUAACAAUAAGUUACAUAAUUAAAUAAGAUUAUAAACCUGAUUAUAGCAGUAAUUAUACAUAAUGCAUUGAGACAGUCAAAGAUCUUCAAACUGAUAUAAAAGACUAUGUUUAUGAGAAUUAUCUGUAUCUAUAUGAAUACAGUAAUGUUAAAAGUAACAAGAGAGAUAAAGAAAUAACAAUAUAAAUAGCAAUGAAAGGAAAGUGAGUAUAGCUAUAUUAAUAUCAGAUACAGUAACCUGUAUCUGUAAAGAGGAACACAAUAAUGGUAAAAAUAUACAUUUUAUCAGGAAGAUAUGAAAAUUUAAAAUUUGUAUCCACCUAAAAAAUAUGGCUUCAAAAUAAUAUAAAGCAGAAAAAGAACAGAACUAAAUAGGAAAAUAGACAAAAAUAUUCGAGUAGAAGUUUUGGGGGUUUUUUUGUUGGUUUUUCUUUCUUUCUUUCUUUUAGUGAGGAAGAUUGGCCCUGAGCUAACAUCUGUGACCAUCUUCCUCCAUUUUGUAAGUGGGAUGCCGCCACAGCAUGGCUUGAUGAGCAGCGUGUAGGUCUGCCCCUGGGAUCCGAACCCGGGAACCCUGGUCUGCUGAAGUAGAGUGCACAAACUUAACCACUACACCACCGGACCAGCCCCAGAGUGGAAGUUUUUUAAACAUACUUUGUAACUGAUAGAACGAGCAAACAAAGAUCAGAAGAACUUGGAGGACUGGAGCAACAUGAUUAAGAAAUCACCUGAUUCAUAACAUGGAGUGUUCAACGGCAGGGUACAUACUCUUUUAAAGCAUAUAUGGAAAAACUGACCAUAUACUGUGUCAUAAAGCAAGUCUCAACACAUUCCCGAGGACUGAAGUCAUACAGCGUAGGCUCUCUGACCACACUGCAGCCGAAAAGAAAUCAGUAACAAAGAGAUACCAGGAAACCCUCAUUUAUAGGGAAAUUAAGAAAUACGCCUCUAAGUAAUCCCUGUGUCAAAAAAGAAAACACAAUGCAAAUUAGAAAAUAUUUUGGGUGGCAUGAAAUGAAUGAAAAUGUUAUAUAUUAAAAUAGGGAGAAAUUUCUUGAUGUUAAAAUGUUGGACAUCAUAUAUCAACUUUUGACCAUAGAAAAGCUGGAUUUAACUCUUUGAAACCUCCUCAUGCCCCCCCCCCCCCAAAUAUUUCCCUUCUCCCCACUCCCCACCCUCUCAAAUGGUUAUAGCACAUAUUGGUUAAAUUAAUAUUCACUAUUUAUAUUAUUUUGGUUAUGUAAGUAUUUUUCAGAAAAUAUAUAUGGACUAGAUGUUGCCUUCAAGGCAGACCAGUCUUCCCCUCCUAUCUAUCCUAUUUACUUUCUUAUGCCUUUGCCAUCUCUGAACCUCCUCACCCAGCUGUCAAUGACAUCAGCUAACAGUUAAGCAGCUAACAACCUCCAGAAUCCAGACUGCCAGGGCCGAAGCUUCCCUGGAGCUGAUGGCAACUCAAGAUGGAAAGAGACGCGUUUGCAGAUUCCAAGAUGGCCAGAGCAAAGCUGAGGAUGCACAAGGGAAAUAGUGCUAAAAAAAAAUAAAGUAGAUGCUUUCACAGCAGAUGGGAAUAGCUGUUUCUUUUUGGCUAACUGUGAGAGCACAGAGCGAGAAUAGACUGAGAGUUGAGCAUGCUUAAUGAUUUUAUUACAGGGGAAAAACAAAAGUUCAAACUUUUUAAUUUUCCUUUUCAAUACCAAAAAAAAAAAAAAAAGGGAAAGAAAGAGAGGAAGGAGAAAGAGGCCGUUCCCAGGAUACAAAUCUAUUGCUUAAGGAAUGUUCCCCAGGAUACAAGCAUGUGCUUAUGAAUGAGAGCAGGUGGCGUUCUUCUGCUGUGACCCCCUAGGAGGCAGCCUCUUUAUCCACUAAGUGCAGGGGGUGGUGUAUAAAGAAAAGAAAGGGAGGGGAGCUUCUCUCACAGCCAGAGCAGGUGGGGAGGCAGAAAGCAAGUGUCUUCAUUACGGGCAGUGAAGCAGGAUGAACAGUUUGUUGUCCCAGCUUCCUGGUUAGAAGCCAAAGUGCAUUUUCAACUGAAGCAGGAAAUCUCUAGCACUUUCAGGAAUGGUUAGGUAUGGGGUAUACUCUUGUAUCAGCAUGGAAGAAGACAACAACAAAUAUUAUCUAUAAAAAAAGAGCUGGGGUUUUAUUUUUCUCCUAUUGAAAUAUAAAGAUUCCUACAGAAGAGCUGGAAACUUCACCACCAUUCAUUUUUUUCAUUCGUCCGACAGGUAUUUCUGGAACACUUACUGAGUACCCUGCACUGAGCUAAAGCUAGACUUUUCUCAGAAUGAACUGAGAGUCUGUGAGGGGAUGCAGAUACCAAAAGGCAGUCACGACAGCGUAAUAAGGUGAAACGAGGUGGAUUCAGGUGCUACCUGCGCCCAGGAGAGGUCGUGCUCCGUGCAGGCUGGGUGGAGGACGGGCUGCUUUUACGGAAACUGUCAUCUAAGGUGACACCUGAAACAUAAGGAUCUGUGGCACUGCAACUAUGGGAAAAUGUUAUAAAUCCAAGCUUAGGCCUUACGACAGACCUAACAGGCAUGGAAAUUUAAGUUUGCUCGUAUAUAAUUUCUUUCUAAAGCAAAGAAAGAAGUCACUCAUACUCGUUGCUAAGACUUCUGAUUUUUACCAAUUAUCUUGAGGCUGAAACCCUUUCUGUUGUUUCGCUUUCCACACGACCACCUAAAAAGGUCCCAGUCCACUCAUGUGCUUUGCUCCACUGCUUUCUGACCCGUUAUGCAGGGUUGCCUCAAAAUAUUUCUUGGGAAUUCAGGGAGAGUUCACGAUGGGGAAGGCUGGCGACUGCGUCUCAGAACUCGCUCUCAGCAAGCCCUCCAAAGGUAACCGGCCGAGCCCUGCUUUUGAUCAAAUUUUAAUGAUCACGCUGAUAUAAACUACUUUCUGUUCCUGAUCUAUUUCCCAGGAUCUUUCCUGCAGUUAAUCACCAGCUGAAUGGAUCCUGGGGCUCCAGGCCAAAGUGAAAAUGCUGCUCAGCUUGCAAGCAUCAUUACAGAGCACUUUGAUUAGCUCUGACUCACCCUGCGCCGUCUCCACAGCCUGCAAGAAGGCUGCCUGUUACCUUUGUUUCCUCCAGUUCCCAUGGAUACCACCUGAAGGGGCUUCGAAAGCUUCUAAUACCGGCUUCCUCUGUCUUUUGUGACUCUCCACCGAAAUUUCUUCUUCCCCUCAUCCCCGGCAAGAGUUGUAGCCAGAACAUGCUGUCCAGCCUGGGACUACGUUUCUCAGCCUCCCUUGAGCCACUUGAGGUUAUGUGUCUACACCUUCACCAAUGGAACUUGAGCAAGAGGGUGCCACACUCAAGCUGGAGCCCACUGCCUCCAUGAUCUUUUCCUAUUCCCUUUUGGUCUUGUUGGUGAAAACAUGUAAUGGUCUUAAAAUCCAUGAGUUGCUAUCAGACUUGGUGCCUAAGCCACGCAUCAACCCAGAGCCCUUGUCUGGAUGGCUUCACGACAGAGAAAGAAACAGCUUGUUCCUCAGCUCACCACAUUUUAGAGAUCUUUAUUAGAAAGCUUACGUUGCCCUAGCAAACUUGGCCACAACGCUCCAAGUUUUCUGUCUCCAGGGUUACUCUGAGGAUCAAAAUUCAUUUUCACCACAGUCCCUCAGUGUGAAGAGAAGACUUUAACAAAAAGUCAGGUACACCGUUCUGCCUGCCCUUCACGUGUGCAGAGGUUUUGGCUGCUCCCAGCCAAGUCGCUGCACUUGGUUACCCCAUGAGUCCAACUGCUGGCCACAGGAGCUCCACGUGUACUGGGCCAAGAAAGCAGGCAGUCAGAGCUGCCAGAGCCGGUGGAGACAUCUCUCUGUUCUGGCACGUGAAUCUCCCUACUCUGGUAUGUGACCUCUCUAACAACUUGUCACACAUUUCUAAGACUCCAGACAUUUUUUUUUCAAACUUUGUCUUAAAUAGUGGCUUUUAAACUUUUAAAUUAAAAAAUUAAACCCACAGUAAAAUAUAAAUUUAACAUUGACCUGUACACACACUAACACACACACAUACACACACACAAUAUAAGCAAAAAUAUUUCGUGAGAAACAUGUAAUAUUUACCCUUACCCUGUGUGUUGCACUCUGAUACAUCCUAUUCAAUUUUAUUUCAUUUUUGAAAAAUUGCGAGACAUAAAUGACUACCUUGUUUUCACGACAGGUCGUGACCUACAGUUUGGGGAGCACAUUGUCCAACUGUUCUAAGCACUGCCCCGAGCACAUCAUCCCCUUAGACUGGGGCUCCAACCCAUCAAAUGCUUCGAAAGCCCUCGGUUUCAGGACCCCAGCCCAGGAGUGCGUGAGCUGUGCUAGGUUGGGGAGGCAGGUCCCGGGCCCCAGUCCCUCAGGAGGUGUCUUGGAGUUAGAAGGGACACCUUCUCAGCUGCAUAAAUCUCUUCCACAUCACCCCAGAACAGGUGGCCCAGGCUCUGCUCCACGUCCCCGGCUGUCAGGAGCUCACUGCCUGCUGCUUUAACUGACUGAGAUAUUAAAGAGUUCUUCAACGUUCCCAGUAGAAAUAACCAUGCUGCCACGUGCAUCCUCCAUGCUGGUCCUGCCCUUGGAAGCCAGGAAAAACCCUAUGGUCAUGUUUGGUUUUCAAGAGAGGAAAGAGUUGUUGACUCCAUCCAGAUGGGGACUGCGAGGGACUGGUCUGCCCUGGAGCCGGGGAAGGCUUCCAGUGGGUGCAGAGAACCAGAGCAGGAGCCUCUGAUAGACUUGCGAUGAUGCAUGUCCACUGGGAGCUCAGGAAGCAUAAAAGGAGCAUGUGCAGGUUUCUCCUGCAAAAGCCCGGGUCAGAGGCACAUCUCCAGCAGGACUGGCAUUCAGAAGGGCUACUUUGGGGAGACAGCUUCUUAAAAAAGGAGCAAUUUACGAUCUCAACAUUUUUGGAGAGAACGUGUUUUAUUCAUUCCCUGCCACAACCCACCUGUUGCAUAUGGCGCUGUGGGCAGCGCAGGAGUUACAGACUUACAGUUACUGGUUGUUCUUCAGACAGGCUGUGCCUUGUCUGGGGGAGGCGCGGAGAGAUGUUUCCUCAAACAGCCAAGAGCAAGAAGGCUAGAGGGAGUGCAUCCGUCAUGCUGGGGGUGCACCAAGGGUCAAGCGUAGGCAAACACAAUUCUGUGCACUCAAUGUGGCAUAUGGAACAUGUACAGAGAACCCGCCAGGAUGGCCGCCAAAAUGGAUGGAAAAUGGGAGAACGGAGAGGAGACGAUGGGGAGAGGCCAGGACAAUUUCCUGCACCAAUUGUCCUGGGUAAUCAGGACAGUCUCCCUGAGCAGACUGCUGUCCCGGCUUAUGUUUUAUUGCUUGGCCAGUGCACGGCAAGUCUGCUAGGUUUACAUUAAGGCGCAACACUCAGGAAAACAGCUGCCUUCAAAACAGUGAUUUUUGCUUUCUGGAGCUGCCCUAUCCUUUAGCAGUCUCACCUUCACUCUGCCGUCAAGAAGAUCUGCCUUUUGAAUGUACAAGUCAGAGUAAAACUGUGUCAAAGUUUUUAAACCUAUAACGUUUAACCACACUGUGGAUUCACAAUGGCGAAAAGCCUCAAUCGUCUUCCAAACUGGAAAGUUUAAAGAUACUUAGCACAAAGUUGGAUCAUGGAUCCACUUUUGAAAAAGAAACUUUCCAUUUCAGCUAGAAGAGCAUCACUUUAAGUAGGAGCACUGCCUGAAAGACUGUGUAAACUAUGACCACGAAAUAAGGAACUUUUUAAACAAACACAUUAGAAUGUCUAACCCAAAUAAGUGUCAGUCUUGGGAGCAUCUUUUUCGUCAAAUGAUGCCAUUAUUGCUCAAAGCUUUUUCAAAAUUCUUCUUUCCGAGGAGCCUUCAAAACGACUUGCACAAAAGCAGAAGGAUGUCACCUGACUUGAUAGUCACAGGUUUGCUUUCUUGAUGCAAUGCAAUUUUCUUCUUUUCACACUUUUUGCAACUUUAACCCUGCCCUGCUUCCCUCUUUCACGUCAUGAACUAAUAACCAAGGGAUCCCAAGAGACGUGUUGUAAUGGUGCUACCUGAGAAAGGAAAGGUCUGGGAGAAAGAGCAUGGGGCUAGUUAUAGCUCAGAAUAGGAGAGACCAAAGGAGCAUGGCCACUGCCUCAAUCCCUUUGGAUAUUGAGUGACUAUAAGAAAUGUAAUUGGAUAACUGGCCAAGUGUCCUCAACACAAAUCAUCUCAAGUUGAACCCCCAUUAAGUCAGGGGAUAUUCCUUGGCUAUAGCCAAGAGGUAGCAUCAUGCAUCUAACAGAGAUCUGGAUUUGGUCAAAGUCUUUUUUUGCAACAGACCAGAACAUGACCGGCCAGCCAUGCUGGAGCUGGUUGCCACUGGAUGGCAGGGAAUUUUGAGGCAGAGAUAAUGUAGCAAAGAACCAGUUGUUGUUUGGAUUCCCUCAAUGGCAGCAGCUGUAAGAGAGUCUUCUAAGUGUUGGCUUGGACCAAUGUUUGGGGAAAGAUUAGUUUGAGAGAGUUCUAGUUGUGUGGAGCUACAAGAGGAGAAAGAACCAGCUCAGGGUAGGCAAGAAUAACAGAGAACCUGAGGUGUGUACCCAGAUUUGGAAGACCUAGUUGGCUUGCUGUAAGGAUUAAAUGAGAUAUUUAUGCAAAUACUUUGAAACUAUAAAAUGCUUUUGUUGAUGUGUUAUUCGCCACCUCUAUUUACCUCCCAGGAAAGCAAACGAAUUUCAACCUUCCUGCCCCUCCAGUUAUCACUUAUCUACAUCCACCUCCAUCUCCUUUGCUCUUCCUAUAGCUAGUGAAAGACACUUCCUGUUUUUAUCCAAUGCUAAUUCCUACACCUGUGCAAUGCCUGUGCUCUUCUGAUCCAUCCCUUCCUGCUUCCUGACUUCUUGUUCCAUCAGUUAUGCUUCAUUUGUUCACCUCGUCAACCUCUCCCUCCCUCUUCCCCAUCAUAAUUCAAACAUGAUCUAAGAUCUCCCAACUUAAAAAAGGAGAAAAAUCCUUCCUCACACCAUGAUUUUCCUCCCCCUAGGGCACCUCUUGUUUCUCAUACUGUUGCCUUUUCUUCAUAGUCAGCCUUCUGGCAAGGGCAAUCUCUACUCAUUACCUCCAGCUGCUUAUGUCCCAUCCAUAUGUGACCUCCCUGCAGAGGGCUCCUGGAUCUGUCACUGCACUGGACCUGGUUUUGUCAAGGUGACCAGUGACCACCCUCCACCAAAUCCAAUGGCCACGUGUUUGUUCUAUUAAUUAACUUUCUAAACCCUCUUCCCUCCGCUGCUAUGGGAACACACUCUCCUGCGGUUUCUCUCACUUUUCCAACUGUUCUGUCCCAUUCUUCUUCCUCCAUCUGUUCCUUAAACAGUGGGGAUCCCUCUUGGACUCUAGGGGCACUGAUGGUUCUUCAGCUCUUAGGAGGAAACUGGUUGGCACAUCGUUGGUUCACAGUCAAUGCCUUUUCUUGAACCAAAGGGUUUGGAGUCGGUGCUUUCUCCCUCUGGGACCCUUCUUUGGGUUCUUAUCUUCCCAGAGGUCUGGUGUAGUGAGUCAGCCUGUGGCCACCUGCUGCUGGGAAAGCACAUGACCUAAAGGUGAGGCUUCCAUCAGCAACGCUCCGGGCUCCAGAACAAACCCGUCUUUGUUCCUUCUGCUUUUUUGCUGUGCCUUUUCUAGGGUUCACCUUGCCUCUCUGUAAAAGGGGUAAGGCACAGCGGAGACUUGCAUCUGGGCUUAUGAGGACAGGUGGCCACUCGGUCCAUUGUAUCUAAGUCUUGGAUCUGCUUCCCGCAAGCCAGAGAGAGAUCCUGUGUGGCUCCAUUAGCCACACCCGGCACACCAGCCUAGGGCUCCUCGCUGAGGUCGGCGGCUAAGGCCCUCAUAUAUCUACUUCUUGGGGGCUUCCUCUGCCUGGCUACCUUCUUUAUGAACUUAUCUGCCCCAGGGUCCUAGAACAGGAUGUAGGUGUUGAGGUCUCCGGGGCGGGUAUUCUCCACUGCGUCGCAAUCUGAC
Molecule: long non-coding RNA, 10630 nt
Filed under: Equus caballus (horse)
Lineage: Eukaryota; Metazoa; Chordata; Mammalia; Perissodactyla; Equidae
Description: lncRNA (ENSECAG00000051139.1)
Source: RNAcentral